GCUGGAGUGCAGUGGCACAGUCUCGGCUCACUGCAACCUCCACCUCCUGAGCUCAAGUGAUUAUCCUGCCUCAGCUUCCCAAGUAGCUGGGAUUACAGGUGGCUUUUCUACAAUAUAAAGAUGGAAAUGGGAAGAAGAUGUUCAUUGCAAAUUAAGGAAGCUCUUCCACGAGUUCACGAAUGGAAAUAACAUCAAGAGUUUUUCAUCUUCUUAGUGUGCAAGGUAUGGAUAUUCUGUGUGUGAACUUCAAGAGUAUCUAAGGGAGGCAAUAACAUGGUUGAUAAUAUACCAGAGACUACAAACUGUCUGUGCAUCCCAGAGGAACAGGAAGCUUGUGCAGGUGAAAAGACUGGAGGAGGAAGUAUGUUGAUGAUACCCAGGAAGCCCACCUUCCACUUCUUUG
This 403-nucleotide long non-coding RNA is filed under the name Homo sapiens (human). RNAcentral describes it as "HSALNT0008810". Lineage: Eukaryota; Metazoa; Chordata; Mammalia; Primates; Hominidae. The record is from RNAcentral.